CCUUAACUCUUGUGUCAUCACUGUCAUUUGUCACAGGUGUGUGUUAAAAGAUGCACUCAAGCACUUUUGCAUUCCCUUGAAGUUGGAUGUCUUAUAAGACACAGAUACCCUGACUUCCUGUCCCUGCUAUGAGCUCUCGGGCUCUGCAUGUCUGUCCUCCUGCACACUGAAGCUCCAACAAGUAACAAUCGAACCUCUGCAGUAACAGCUUCAACAGCAGUGCUCCUACAUUUAGGUGUGGUUAAGU
Long non-coding RNA from Scatophagus argus, 247 nucleotides. RefSeq lists it as uncharacterized. The record is from RefSeq and is a predicted model, not a curated record. NCBI's taxonomy places the organism in Eukaryota, Metazoa, Chordata, Actinopteri, Scatophagidae. The transcript is spliced from 3 exons.